GACGAACCGUACGAACGUUAUUCGGAAUCACUGGGCUUAAAGGGUGCGUAGGCGGUGCGGAAAGUUGGGUGUGAAAUCCCUCGGCUCAACCGAGGAAUGGCGCCCAAAACUGCCGUGCUCGAGGGAGACAGAGGUGAGUGGAACUUCGGGUGGAGCGGUGAAAUGCGUUGAUAUCCGAAGGAACACCAGUAGCGAAAGCGACUCACUGGGUCUCUACUGACGCUGAGGCACGAAAGCUAGGGGAGCAAACGGG
RNAcentral lists this ribosomal RNA (253 nucleotides) under uncultured bacterium. RNAcentral describes it as "partial 16S ribosomal RNA". It matches the Rfam family "Bacterial small subunit ribosomal RNA", at positions 524 to 776 of the family's 1533-position model. The record is from RNAcentral.